Small nuclear RNA from Nyctereutes procyonoides (raccoon dog), 185 nucleotides. RefSeq annotates it as U2 spliceosomal RNA. The transcript has a single exon. NCBI's taxonomy places the organism in Eukaryota, Metazoa, Chordata, Mammalia, Carnivora, Canidae. The record is from RefSeq and is a predicted model, not a curated record.
AUCGCUUCUCGGCCUUUUGGCUAAGAUCAAGUGUAGUAUCCCAGCAGUGAAUAAGAGUUCCAUUGCUCUACAACCUCACCAGCAUUUGGUAUUCAGGUUUUUGGACUUUAGCCAUGGCUAAUAGGCAUUGUAGUGACAUCUCAUAACUUUUUUAAUUUGUCUUCCCUAAUGCUUGUGAACAUCUC